RNAcentral lists this ribosomal RNA (1540 nucleotides) under Staphylococcus aureus M1097. RNAcentral describes it as "16S ribosomal RNA". It matches the Rfam family "Bacterial small subunit ribosomal RNA". The record is from RNAcentral. Lineage: Bacteria; Bacillati; Bacillota; Bacilli; Caryophanales; Staphylococcaceae.
AGAGUUUGAUCCUGGCUCAGGAUGAACGCUGGCGGCGUGCCUAAUACAUGCAAGUCGAGCGAACGGACGAGAAGCUUGCUUCUCUGAUGUUAGCGGCGGACGGGUGAGUAACACGUGGAUAACCUACCUAUAAGACUGGGAUAACUUCGGGAAACCGGAGCUAAUACCGGAUAAUAUUUUGAACCGCAUGGUUCAAAAGUGAAAGACGGUCUUGCUGUCACUUAUAGAUGGAUCCGCGCUGCAUUAGCUAGUUGGUAAGGUAACGGCUUACCAAGGCAACGAUGCAUAGCCGACCUGAGAGGGUGAUCGGCCACACUGGAACUGAGACACGGUCCAGACUCCUACGGGAGGCAGCAGUAGGGAAUCUUCCGCAAUGGGCGAAAGCCUGACGGAGCAACGCCGCGUGAGUGAUGAAGGUCUUCGGAUCGUAAAACUCUGUUAUUAGGGAAGAACAUAUGUGUAAGUAACUGUGCACAUCUUGACGGUACCUAAUCAGAAAGCCACGGCUAACUACGUGCCAGCAGCCGCGGUAAUACGUAGGUGGCAAGCGUUAUCCGGAAUUAUUGGGCGUAAAGCGCGCGUAGGCGGUUUUUUAAGUCUGAUGUGAAAGCCCACGGCUCAACCGUGGAGGGUCAUUGGAAACUGGAAAACUUGAGUGCAGAAGAGGAAAGUGGAAUUCCAUGUGUAGCGGUGAAAUGCGCAGAGAUAUGGAGGAACACCAGUGGCGAAGGCGACUUUCUGGUCUGUAACUGACGCUGAUGUGCGAAAGCGUGGGGAUCAAACAGGAUUAGAUACCCUGGUAGUCCACGCCGUAAACGAUGAGUGCUAAGUGUUAGGGGGUUUCCGCCCCUUAGUGCUGCAGCUAACGCAUUAAGCACUCCGCCUGGGGAGUACGACCGCAAGGUUGAAACUCAAAGGAAUUGACGGGGACCCGCACAAGCGGUGGAGCAUGUGGUUUAAUUCGAAGCAACGCGAAGAACCUUACCAAAUCUUGACAUCCUUUGACAACUCUAGAGAUAGAGCCUUCCUCUUCGGGGGACAAAGUGACAGGUGGUGCAUGGUUGUCGUCAGCUCGUGUCGUGAGAUGUUGGGUUAAGUCCCGCAACGAGCGCAACCCUUAAGCUUAGUUGCCAUCAUUAAGUUGGGCACUCUAAGUUGACUGCCGGUGACAAACCGGAGGAAGGUGGGGAUGACGUCAAAUCAUCAUGCCCCUUAUGAUUUGGGCUACACACGUGCUACAAUGGACAAUACAAAGGGCAGCGAAACCGCGAGGUCAAGCAAAUCCCAUAAAGUUGUUCUCAGUUCGGAUUGUAGUCUGCAACUCGACUACAUGAAGCUGGAAUCGCUAGUAAUCGUAGAUCAGCAUGCUACGGUGAAUACGUUCCCGGGUCUUGUACACACCGCCCGUCACACCACGAGAGUUUGUAACACCCGAAGCCGGCGGAGUAACCUUUUAGGAGCUAGCCGUCGAAGGUGGGACAAAUGAUUGGGGUGAAGUCGUAACAAGGUAGCCGUAUCGGAAGGUGCGGCUGGAUCACCU